Molecule: ribosomal RNA, 1375 nt
Filed under: uncultured bacterium
Lineage: Bacteria
Description: bacterial SSU rRNA
Rfam family: Bacterial small subunit ribosomal RNA
Source: RNAcentral
GAUGAACGCUGGCGGCGUGGAUAAGGCAUGCAAGUCGAACGGUUCCGCCCUUUCGCAAGAAAGAGCGGGGUAGUGGCGAACGGGUUAGUAACACGUGGGUAACAGACCAUCAACACAGGCAUAAUCCGUUGAAAGACGGACUAAUUCCUGAUAGUCCUCGAUUUCUUUGGAGAUUGAGGUAAAGGUAUAGAGCAAUCUAUGUUGGUUGAUGAAUGGCCCGCGGCCUAUCAGCUAGUUGGUGAGGUAAUGGCUCACCAAGGCAAUGACGGGUAGGCGGUGUGAGAGCAUGAUCGCCAACAAUGGGACUGAGAUACGGCCCAUACUCCUACGGGAGGCAGCAGUCGAGAAUAUUGGUCAAUGGAGGAAACUCUGAACCAGCGACGCCGCGUGCUCGAAGAAGCCCUUCGGGGUGUAAAGAGCUUUUAUCCGUGAACAAUCCCGCUUGCGGGAUGAGUGUAACGGAUGAAUAAGGGGGUGCUAAUCACGUGCCAGCAGCCGCGGUAAUACGUGACCCCCAAGCGUUAUCCGGAUUUAUUGGGCGUAAAGAGUCUGUAGGCGGUCUGGAAAGUCUUUGGUUAAAGACCCAGGGCUUAACCUUGGGAAUGCCAGAGAUACUAUCAGGCUAGAGGGCGUUAGAGGCUGGAGGAACGGUCGGUGUAGGGGUGAAAUCCGUUGAUAUCGACCGGAACCCUAAAAGCGAAGGCAUCCAGCUGGGGCGACCCUGACGCUGAGAGACGAAAGCGUGGGGAGCAAAAAGGAUUAGAUACCCUUGUAGUCCACGCUGUAAACGAUGGACACUGGCUAUCUGAAGUGUCGACCCUUCAGGUGGCGAAGCUAACGCGUUAAGUGUCCCGCCUGGGAAGUACGGCGGCAACGCUAAAACUCAAAGGAAUAGACGGGGAUUCACACAAGCGGUGGACCAUGUGGCUUAAUUCGACAACAAACGAGGAACCUUACCAGGGCUUGACAGACUAGUGAAACCCUUGAGAAAUCAAGGUCUACCCACAAGGACACUAGUCCAGGUGCUGCAUGGUUGUCGUCAGCAUGUAUCUUGAGACGCACGCUUAAAUGCGGUAACAUGCGCAACCCCUAUUGCUUGUUUUAUUUGUCAAGCGAGACUGCCUGGGAUGACCAGGAGGAAGGUGGGGAUGACGCCAAAUCAGCAUGGCCCUUUGAUGCCCUGGGCUGCACACGUGGUACAAUGGGGCCGACAAUGGGUUGCCAAAGCGCAAGCUGGAGCUAAUCCCAUCAAACGGCCUCCCAGUUCGGAUUGAGGUCUGAAACCUGACCUCAUGAAGUUGGAAUCGCUAGUAAUCGCAUAUCAGCUAUGGUGCGAUGAAUAUGUUCCUGAAUCUUGUACUCACCGCCCGUCACA